GUGGGGAAUAUUGGACAAUGGGCGCAAGCCUGAUCCAGCCAUGCCGCGUGAGUGAUGAAGGCCCUAGGGUUGUAAAGCUCUUUCAACGGUGAAGAUAAUGACGGUAACCGUAGAAGAAGCCCCGGCUAACUUCGUGCCAGCAGCCGCGGUAAUACGAAGGGGGCUAGCGUUGUUCGGAAUUACUGGGCGUAAAGCGCACGUAGGCGGAUCGAUCAGUUAGGGGUGAAAUCCCAGGGCUCAACCCUGGAACUGCCUCUAAUACUGUCGAUCUCGAGUUCGAGAGAGGUGAGUGGAAUUCCGAGUGUAGAGGUGAAAUUCGUAGAUAUUCGGAGGAACACCAGUGGCGAAGGCGGCUCACUGGCUCGAUACUGACGCUGAGGUGCGAAAGCGUGGGGAGCAAACAGGA
This 406-nucleotide ribosomal RNA is filed under the name uncultured bacterium. Its description in RNAcentral is "bacterial SSU rRNA". It matches the Rfam family "Bacterial small subunit ribosomal RNA", at positions 354 to 777 of the family's 1533-position model. The record is from RNAcentral.